This 253-nucleotide ribosomal RNA is filed under the name uncultured bacterium. RNAcentral's name for it is "partial 16S ribosomal RNA". It matches the Rfam family "Bacterial small subunit ribosomal RNA", at positions 524 to 776 of the family's 1533-position model. The record is from RNAcentral.
UACGUAGGGUGCAAGCGUUGUCCGGAAUUAUUGGGCGUAAAGAGCUCGUAGGCGGUCCGUCGCGUCGGGCGUGAAAACCCGUGGCUCAACCACGGGCCUGCAUCCGAUACUGGCGGGCUCGAGGCAGGCAGGGGAGAUCGGAAUUCCUGGUGUAGCGGUGAAAUGCGCAGAUAUCAGGAGGAACACCGGUGGCGAAGGCGGAUCUCUGGGCCUGUCCUGACGCUCAGGCGCGAAAGCUAGGGGAGCAAACAGG